AUGGUAUGUGGGAGCUUUAGAGAGUCCGGUGAAAGGUUGGGACUCAUCGAGGCAGACAACACGCUCGACGACUGUCUUACUGAGGCGGAGCAGUGGGCUAUGCCAUGUUCUCUUAGGAGGCUCUUUGCAACAAUCUUGGUGCACUGCGAGCCAGGCGACGUGCGCGGGUUAUGGGAUAGACACCUCGAGCCUAUGUCCGAUGACUACCGUCGGACACGCACGUCCCCGAACGAGGUGAAGCAGAUGGUGUUGCUUGACAUUAGGGGUAUGUUGCAGUCUAUGGGUAAAGACAUUAUCGAUUUUGCUCUUCCAACGAUCGAUGAUGCAUUUGACCCAACCGAGGGCGAGGCCAGAGAGAUCAUCGAGGAAUCAACCAUUGAGUUUGACGAAAGUGACACUAAAUUGUCAUCUUCCCUGAAUUUUGAGCAAAGGGCUGCAUACGACGAGAUACUAGCGGCUGUUGAACGCGGUGAUGGGGGUAUAUUCUUUGUUGAUGGCCCUGGAGGUACGGGGAAGACCUUCCUUUACAGGGCGAUGCUCGCCAAGGCGAGGCGCGAGGGCAAGAUUGCUAUCGCUACCGCGACGUCGGGCGUCGCUGCUUCUAUCAUGCCUGGCGGCAGGACUGCCCACUCGAGAUUCAAAAUCCCAUUGAGUUGUGAUGAUGGAGCCUCGUGCAGCUUCACCAAGCAGAGUGGGACCGCCAAGCUGCUAAGGAUGGCCUCAUUGAUACUAUGGGACGAGGCCAGCAUGACUAAGCGACAAGCGGUUGAGGCAUUAGACAAUAGCAUGCGCGACAUCAUGGGAAUACGCGACCGACCCUUUGGAGGAAAGACUGUUGUUUUUGGCGGGGACUUUAGGCAGGUGCUUCCGGUCGUCAGAAGGGGGUCACGGGGCCAGAUAAUUGAUGCAAGCCUCCGAAGUUCUCAUCUAUGGAAGAGUAUGCGGCAGCUUCAGCUCAUCACCAACAUGAGGGCUCAUAAUGACAAGUGGUUUGCAGAUUACUUGCUCAGGGACGGUAAUGGCACAGAGGAAGCCGAGGAUCAAGGCAACAUACUACUCCCUGAUGAUAUCUGUCUGCCAUCUACAGGCGAGGUUGACGACCUGGAGAAGCUGAUUGACCACGUGUUUCCGAGUCUAGAUGACAACAUGGCAGAUUCGAGUUACAUGACAUCUCGCGCAAUCCUUUCCACCACAAAUGACAACGUCGACAAGAUAAACAUCCGCAUGAUAGAGCGUUUCCACGGAGAUGAAGUAAUCUACCAUAGCUUUGACAGUGCGGAGGAUGACCCAUAUGGCUACUACGCUCCUGAGUUUCUGAACGGAUUGACUCCCAAUGGUCUUCCUUCGCAUGCACUCAAACUAAAGCUGAAUUGCCCGGUGAUACUUCUAAGAAACAUUGAUCCAGCUAAUGGGCUGUGUAACGGGACUAGGCUUGUUGUUCGAGGUUUUGAGAGGAACACCAUUGAUGCAGAAAUCGUGAUUGGACAACACGCUGGUAGGAGGGUCUUCCUUCCUCGAAUACCUCUAUGCCCAUCUAACAACGACAUGUUUCCAUUCAAGUUUAAGAGGAAGCAAUUUCCUAUUAGGCUUAGCUUUGCUAUGACGAUUAACAAGGCUCAAGGGCAGACCAUCCCAAUUGUUGGUGUGUAUCUACCUAAUCCGGUGUUCUCUCAUGGUCAACUCUAUGUUGCUUUGUCUCGAGCCACCGCGAAGAGAAACAUAAAAAUACUCAUUCAGAAGGAGAAGCCAAAGGAGAAGUCCAACAAGCAACAUAACAAUCCGAAGAAGCGUAAAAGACCGACCGUGUCCUUGCUGACCUCAAUGAAGAACAUCGUCUACAAGGAAGUACUUACAGGCUGA
RNAcentral lists this ribosomal RNA (1860 nucleotides) under Triticum aestivum (bread wheat). RNAcentral's name for it is "partial small subunit ribosomal RNA". Lineage: Eukaryota; Viridiplantae; Streptophyta; Magnoliopsida; Poales; Poaceae. The record is from RNAcentral.